UUCAAAGCAAAUUUCUGAAGGCAGCAUCCUUUCUAAUUUACCUUUUCGGUGGACUCUAGUUUACUUAAAUUAAAAAAUGUCAAUGCUUGAGUACUUUUUUUUAUUGUUGCAGUAACGUUACUGCUGCUGUGCUGAACAAAAAAUAAAAACAAAAUAUGUGUUGUAUCAGUAAAUGAGGUUAAGUUAUUAUAAACAUACUCUGAUUUUUUUUUUCACACAAAAAAUUGAAAGAAAAUAAGUCAACCAAUGAACGGAAACAAGAAUAAUAGACAUUUCAAGUUUGGUAAGGCAUCGUGUGAAACAGCUGGCUAAGCUGGCAUACUUGAAACUUUGAUUUCAAAAGUAUGUCUUGUCCAGCUGUAUAUUUCUUUUUUAUGGACUCAAAUAUAGAAUGUGACAAGUUACCAAAUGUCAUUUCUGUUGUUUGAGAAAAAAAGUCAUUGCUAAAGAGCAUGAUGCAAUUAUUGUUGUUGUAACCAAGGACACGGUUUGCGAUGUAUCGAUGGAGCUUUGAAUUUACAUGGGGAAUUCAGUUAUUUGUAAAUUGA
This is a long non-coding RNA of Copidosoma floridanum, 548 nucleotides long. The record is from RefSeq and is a predicted model, not a curated record. NCBI's taxonomy places the organism in Eukaryota, Metazoa, Arthropoda, Insecta, Hymenoptera, Encyrtidae.